This 252-nucleotide unclassified non-coding RNA is filed under the name uncultured fungus. RNAcentral's name for it is "sequence contains ITS1, 5.8S rRNA gene". The stretch from base 204 to 252 matches the Rfam family "5.8S ribosomal RNA", at positions 1 to 49 of the family's 154-position model. Lineage: Eukaryota; Fungi. The record is from RNAcentral.
UUUCCGUAGGUGAACCUGCGGAAGGAUCAUUAAUGAAUAUUCGGGGGUUGAUGCUGGUCCUUUAUUGGGCAUGUGCUCACCUCUGUCAUUAUCCAUACACCUGUGCACCUUUGAGGGCUUUUCCGUUCAGGAAUUGUCCCUCUAAAUUUACAAACCCCUUUGUAAACAUUGAACGUGAUUGUGCCGAAAGGCCUUAUAUUUACAACUUUUAACAACGGAUCUCUUGGCUCUCGCAUCGAUGAAGAACGCAGC